RNAcentral lists this ribosomal RNA (506 nucleotides) under uncultured bacterium. RNAcentral describes it as "bacterial SSU rRNA". It matches the Rfam family "Bacterial small subunit ribosomal RNA", at positions 15 to 518 of the family's 1533-position model. The record is from RNAcentral.
GAUCCUGGCUUAGGAUGAACGCUAGCUACAGGCUUAACACAUGCAAGUCGAGGGGUAGCAGGGUAGCAAUACCGCUGACGACCGGCGCACGGGUGAGUAACACGUAUCCAACCUUCCCAUAACUCAGGGAUAGCCUUUCGAAAGAAAGAUUAAUACCUGAUAGUACUUUUUCAAGGCAUCUUGAGAAAGUUAAAGAUUUAUUGGUUAUGGAUGGGGAUGCGUUCCAUUAGAUAGUUGGUGAGGUAACGGCUCACCAAGUCUUCGAUGGAUAGGGGUUCUGAGAGGAAGGUCCCCCACAUUGGUACUGAGACACGGACCAAACUCCUACGGGAGGCAGCAGUGAGGAAUAUUGGUCAAUGGGCGAGAGCCUGAACCAGCCAAGUAGCGUGAAGGAUGAAGGUCCUAUGGAUUGUAAACUUCUUUUAUAGUAGAAUAAAGUGAUCCACGUGUGGAUUUUUGUAUGUAUACUAUGAAUAAGGAUCGGCUAACUCCGUGCCAGCAGCGGC